UACGAGUGCUUCGAGCGUUAUCCGGAAUCAUUGGGCGUAAAGGGUGUGUAGGUGGUAGUGUUAGUCUUGUGUUAAAUCUUUCGGCUCAACCGAGAGGCUGCAUGAGAAACGGCACAACUAAGAGGACGGAAGAGGUCUCUGGAACUCAUGGUGUAGCGGUGAAAUGCGUUGAUAUCAUGGGGAACACCAAAAGCGAAGGCAAGAGACUGGUCCGCUCCUGACACUGAAACACGAAAGCGUGGGUCGCGAAUGGG
RNAcentral lists this ribosomal RNA (254 nucleotides) under uncultured bacterium. RNAcentral describes it as "partial 16S ribosomal RNA". It matches the Rfam family "Bacterial small subunit ribosomal RNA", at positions 524 to 776 of the family's 1533-position model. The record is from RNAcentral.